UACGUAGGGUGCGAGCGUUGUCCGGAAUUAUUGGGCGUAAAGGGCUCGUAGGCGGUUUGUCGCGUCGGGAGUGAAAACUCAGGGCUUAACCCUGAGCCUGCUUCCGAUACGGGCAGACUAGAGGUAUGCAGGGGAGAAUGGAAUUCCUGGUGUAGCGGUGAAAUGCGCAGAUAUCAGGAGGAACACCGGUGGCGAAGGCGGAUCUCUGGGCCGGAACUGACGCUGAGGAGCGAAAGCGUGGGGAGCGAACAGG
RNAcentral lists this ribosomal RNA (253 nucleotides) under uncultured bacterium. Its description in RNAcentral is "partial 16S ribosomal RNA". It matches the Rfam family "Bacterial small subunit ribosomal RNA", at positions 524 to 776 of the family's 1533-position model. The record is from RNAcentral.